RNAcentral lists this ribosomal RNA (497 nucleotides) under uncultured bacterium. Its description in RNAcentral is "partial 16S ribosomal RNA". It matches the Rfam family "Bacterial small subunit ribosomal RNA", at positions 28 to 507 of the family's 1533-position model. The record is from RNAcentral.
GAUGAACGCUGGCGGCGUGCCUAAUACAUGCAAGUCGAGCGAACGGACGAGAAGCUUGCUUCUCUGCUGUUAGCGGCGGACGGGUGAGUAACACGUGGAUAACCUACCUAUAAGACUGGGAUAACUUCGGGAAACCGGAGCUAAUACCGGAUAAUAUUUUGAACCGCAUGGUUCAAAAGUGAAAGACGGUCUUGCUGUCACUUAUAGAUGUAUCCGCGCUGCAUUAGCUAGUUGGUAAGGUAACGGCUUACCAAGGCAACGAUGCAUAGCCGACCUGAGAGGGUGAUCGGCCACACUGGAACUGAGACACGGUCCAGACUCCUACGGGAGGCAGCAGUAGGGAAUCUUCCGCAAUGGGCGAAAGCCUGACGGAGCAACGCCGCGUGAGUGAUGAAGGUCUUCGGAUCGUAAAACUCUGUUAUUAGGGAAGAACAGAUGUGUAAGUAACUGUGCACAUCUUGACGGUACCUAAUCAGAAAGCCACGGCUAACUACGUG